Long non-coding RNA from Ictalurus punctatus (channel catfish), 2410 nucleotides. The record is from Ensembl. NCBI's taxonomy places the organism in Eukaryota, Metazoa, Chordata, Actinopteri, Siluriformes, Ictaluridae.
CACGUGUCUCUAUAUACUAUAUAGACGGCAAGUACGCGGUUUGGACGCGGCCCACGGCUUCAAGCAGUCGUCUAUCAGCACGUACAGCACGACUAAUAAUUAACCGCACUUGAAGCUUUCACAACAUUAAACACGAAACACCCAAACUGUAUACGGUCCCAUAACGAAGACCGACUGUACGUCGAUACGUGAAAUUCUGGAGGGAACGUCGGACGGCGUGGUGACGUAAUGACGUGUGACGUUACAUCCAUCUACGUUCUAUAACACGUGAAACCUGAACAUGAAAGGAGUAUUCUAAAAGCCACUCAUGCGUCUUACUCAGAAUAAGGUCAGUGAUCAGAUCACCGCCGUCCGUGUGGACGUGGUCAGCGUGAAUAUUUCUCAAGGUAACGCUUCUUUAGCUCGUGAAACUCCCGGAAUCGUCGAGCGUGUCCGACUUUCAGCGUCACUGCCAGGAAUCGCCACUUCCGAGCGGAGUCGGAAAAUCCGAUCUGUAGUUACUGCAGUAUUAUUAUUAUAUUAUUAUUAUUAUUAUUAUGAUGAUUAUUAUGAUUAUUAUUAGUUUCUUUCUUCUGUAUUUUUUCCACUAAGUUGAUGGGAAGCCUGUAGCGUAUAGACACCGGGCUUUAUUCGGGAUGUGAAGUGAGCGCAGGUUCCUGUGCUGGAUUUAGAUUUCGCAGUGUUCUUUUUAAAAGGUUAUAUUUUUUAAAUCAGUGUGACUAGCGUCUCUCUCUCUGACCCAUUCAGCGACGCAGCAGUUUUUACUAUUGUGACGAGUCCUUUGUAAUCAUCUCUUUGAUGUUUGUGUUAAACAGCUGGUGGAUAAGUCUCCUGCUGCUGUCGGCACGCCGGUAGCAGACGUGAGCGUUGUGCGCGGUGGAGAGCGUGAUUAGUGGUCUAUCUACGUGGACUUUAAGUUCAUCCGCACCUUUUCGUUUUGAAUUCUUGAGCUGUAAACGAGUCUGUACAGGAGCCGGUUCUGGACCGGGAGCGUUCCUCCGUGUGAGGGAGGGCGAACGUGUUUAAAAUAAAGGUACCGUUGAAUGUGUUUAUCGCUCACCCAAGCUCGUUCUCGUUAAACAGAACGCUGACACGGUCCUUUCUGUCCUGGGUUAUGACGGUGUCGCGUUAUUUUACUGCUAAAGGGUGUGUACCUUUGAGCUCUUCUUAUUGUGCAGCAUGUCACAUGAUCACUGCUACAGAUUUGUGUUUCAACAUGAUGAUGAUGAUGAUGAUGAUGAUGAUGAUGAUGAUGCCUUCAUAUUUGUCCACUGUGAGGAACGCUGGAGGACAAACUGCCGUUGUGAACGAGACAGACGUUAUCUCCGGAGCACCAGCACUGCCCUGACACGCCGUGUGUCUCCCUGUGCAGCGUGGGAUACGACAUGUCCGUGGUGACUGUGAUUUAUUAUUGUGGUAUAUUUCUAAUCGAGUAUCGGCACAUGUUUCUGUUAGUCCCAGUUAAACAUUAUUACUGACUGGAUCCGAACACCUGGACUGUGAUCUGCCAGACUGGAGGCAUUUAAUCACACACACACACACACAACACACACACACACACACACACACACACACACACACACAAUCUCUCUCACUCACUCUGUCUCUCUCUCACACACACACACACACACACAAUCUCUCUCACUCACUCUGUCUCUCUCUCACACACACUCACACACACACACACACUCUCACACACACACACACACACAAUCUCACUCACUCUCCUGUCUCUCUCUCUUACACACACACACUCACACACACACACUCUCACUCACUCUCCCUGUCUCUCUCUCUUACACACACACACACACACACACACACACACACACACACACACACACACACACACACAACAAUCUCUCUCACUCACUCUGUCUCUCUCUCACACACACACACACACACACACACACACACACACACACAAUCUCUCUCACUCACUCUGUCUCUCUCUCACACACACUCACACACACACACUCUCUCUCACACACACACACACACACACACACACACACUCACACACACACACACAAUCUCACUCACUCUCCCUGUCUCUCUCUCUUACACACACACACUCACACACACACACUCUCACUCACUCUCCCUGUCUCUCUCUCUUACACACACACACACACACACACACACACACACUCCCACUCACUCUCCCUGUCUCUCUCUCAAUCUCACACACACACACACACACACUCUCACUCUCCCUGUCUCUCUCUCUUACACACACACUCUGUUUCUGUCUCUCUCUCUCUCAUACACAAACACACACACACACUCCGUGUUGUUGGACUUUUUUUUUUGUCGGUUGGGGUCACCACUGUUUAAAAGAUUACUGAUUAUAUUUUUAUACAAAUAUCUGUCAUGUAAAAAUAUAUUUUAAAUAAAUGCUUAAAAAUUA